Molecule: ribosomal RNA, 405 nt
Filed under: uncultured bacterium
Lineage: Bacteria
Description: bacterial SSU rRNA
Rfam family: Bacterial small subunit ribosomal RNA
Source: RNAcentral
UAGGGAAUCUUGCGCAAUGGGCGAAAGCCUGACGCAGCAACGCCGCGUGGGGGAUGAAGGCCUUCGGGUUGUAAACUCCUUUCAGUGGGAACGAAAUUGACGGUACCCACAGAAGAAGCCCCGGCUAACUACGUGCCAGCAGCCGCGGUGAUACGUAGGGGGCGAGCGUUGUCCGGAUUUACUGGGCGUAAAGAGCUCGUAGGCGGCUUGAUAAGUCGGGUGUGAAACCUCCAGGCUUAACCUGGAAUCGCCACUUGAUACUGUCAUGGCUGGAGUCCGGUAGGGGACCAUGGAAUUCCUGGUGUAGCGGUGAAAUGCGCAGAUAUCAGGAGGAACACCAGUAGCGAAGGCGGUGGUCUGGGCCGGUACUGACGCUGAGGAGCGAAAGCGUGGGGAGCGAACAGG